Molecule: long non-coding RNA, 199 nt
Filed under: Gossypium barbadense (sea-island cotton)
Lineage: Eukaryota; Viridiplantae; Streptophyta; Magnoliopsida; Malvales; Malvaceae
Description: long non-coding RNA (GBAR_LNC000792)
Source: RNAcentral
GCUAGGGACACGGACUUGUCUGGAUGUGUUCAGGCCGCGUGAGCCACACAGGCCUUCAACAUGGCCAUGCUAAGAAGACACACAGGCGUGUUGCCCAUCGACACGGGUGUGUGCCCCUAUGAUGCUUGAAAUUUUACAAAGUUUUCUAUAGUGCACAGGUUUGUCCCAAAUCAAUUCCAAAGUGUGUUUGGGGCCUCGC